RNAcentral lists this ribosomal RNA (466 nucleotides) under uncultured Anaeromyxobacter sp. RNAcentral's name for it is "bacterial SSU rRNA". It matches the Rfam family "Bacterial small subunit ribosomal RNA", at positions 338 to 795 of the family's 1533-position model. The record is from RNAcentral. Lineage: Bacteria; Pseudomonadati; Myxococcota; Myxococcia; Myxococcales; Anaeromyxobacteraceae.
CCUACGGGGGGCAGCAGUGGGGAAUCUUGCGCAAUGGGCGAAAGCCUGACGCAGCAACGCCGCGUGUGUGAUGAAGGUCUUCGGAUCGUAAAGCACUGUCGGGAGAGACGAAUAAGGGCCGGGUGAACAAUCCGGUCCGAUGACGGUACCUCCAAAGGAAGCACCGGCUAACUCUGUGCCAGCAGCCGCGGUAAUACAGAGGGUGCAAGCGUUGUUCGGAAUUAUUGGGCGUAAAGCGCGUGUAGGCGGUCUCGCAAGUCGGAUGUGAAAGCCCUCGGCUUAACCGAGGAAGUGCGUUCGAAACUACGAGACUUGAGUGCCGGAGAGGGUGGCGGAAUUCCCGGUGUAGAGGUGAAAUUCGUAGAUAUCGGGAGGAACACCAGUGGCGAAGGCGGCCACCUGGACGGUAACUGACGCUGAGACGCGAAAGCGUGGGGAGCAAACAGGAUUAGAUACCCCAGUAGUC